CCCUUAGAUGUUCUGGGCCGCACGCGCGCUACACUGACGAAGUCAGCGAGCAUGUCCUACGCCGACAGGUGCGGGGAAUCUUGUCAAACUUCGUCGUGAUGGGGAUUGAUUAUUGAAAUUCUUGAUCAUCAACGAGGAAUUCCUAGUAAGCGCAAGUCAGCAGCUUGCGUUGAUUACGUCCCUGCCCUUUGUACACACCGCCCGUCGCUACUACCGGUUGAAUGGUUUAGUGAGAUCUUCGGAUUGGCGCCACUGCGGCUCAGCAAUGGGCUCGGUGGAUGCCGAAAAGUUGAUCAAACUUGAUCAUUUAGAGGAAGUAAAAGUCGUAACA
This 331-nucleotide ribosomal RNA is filed under the name uncultured eukaryote. RNAcentral's name for it is "partial 18S ribosomal RNA". It matches the Rfam family "Eukaryotic small subunit ribosomal RNA", at positions 1470 to 1796 of the family's 1831-position model. The record is from RNAcentral.